RNAcentral lists this ribosomal RNA (396 nucleotides) under uncultured bacterium. RNAcentral describes it as "partial 16S ribosomal RNA". It matches the Rfam family "Bacterial small subunit ribosomal RNA", at positions 362 to 776 of the family's 1533-position model. The record is from RNAcentral.
UAUUGGGCAAUGGGGGAAACCCUGACCCAGCGACGCCGCGUGAGGGAAGAAGGUUUUCGGAUNGUAAACCUCUGUCCUUGGUGACNNUANNNANGGUAGCCAAGGAGGAAGCCACGGCUAACUACGUGCCNNNAGACGCGGUAAUACGUAGGUGGCGAGCGUUGUCCGGAAUUACUGGGUGUAAAGGGAGCGUAGGCGGGAGAGCAAGUCGACUGUGAAAUCUAUGGGCUUAACCCAUAGCUGCGAUCGAAACUGUUCAUCUUGAGUGAAGUAGAGGCAGGCGGAAUUCCUAGUGUAGCGGUGAAAUGCGUAAAUAUUAGGAGGAACACCGGUGGCGAAGGCGGCCUGCUGGGCUUUAACUGACGCUGAGGCUCGAAAGCGUGGGUAGCAAACAGG